AGCAGCCGCGGUAAUUCCAGCUCCAAUAGCGUAUAUUAAAGUUGUUGCAGUUAAAAAGCUCGUAGUUGAAUUUCGGGGUUAGUAGGUUGGUCGUGCCACUGGUACGUACUGGUCUCACUGAUUCCUCCUUCCUGAUGAACUGUAAUGCCAUUAAUUUGGUGUUGCAGGGAAACUGGACUGUUACUUUGAAAAAAAUUAGAGUGUUUAAAGCAAGCUAACGCUUGAAUACAUUAGCAUGGAAUAAUGAAAUAGGACGUUCGAUCCUAUUUUGUUGGUUUCUAGGAUUGACGUAAUGAUUAAUAGGGAUAGUUGGGGGCAUUAGUAUUCAAUUGUCAGAGGUGAAAAUUCUUGGAUUUAUUGAAGACUAACUACUGCGAAAAGCAUUUGCCAAAGGAUGUUUUCAUUAAAUCAAGAAACGAAAAGUUAGGGGAUCGAAGACGAUCAGAUACCGUCGUAGUCUUAACCAUAAAACUAUGCCGACUAGGGAUCGGAUGAUGUUAAAUUUUUUUAAAUGACUCAU
Molecule: ribosomal RNA, 520 nt
Filed under: uncultured Glomus
Lineage: Eukaryota; Fungi; Glomeromycota; Glomeromycetes; Glomerales; Glomeraceae
Description: SSU rRNA
Rfam family: Eukaryotic small subunit ribosomal RNA
Source: RNAcentral